This 447-nucleotide ribosomal RNA is filed under the name uncultured bacterium. Its description in RNAcentral is "bacterial SSU rRNA". It matches the Rfam family "Bacterial small subunit ribosomal RNA", at positions 34 to 498 of the family's 1533-position model. The record is from RNAcentral.
CGCUGGCGGCGUGCUUAACACAUGCAAGUCGAACGAUGAAGCCCUUCGGGGUGGAUUAGUGGCGAACGGGUGAGUAACACGUGGGCAAUCUGCCCUUCACUCUGGGACAAGCCCUGGAAACGGGGUCUAAUACCGGAUAACACUCCUGCCUGCAUGGGUGGGGGUUAAAAGCUCCGGCGGUGAAGGAUGAGCCCGCGGCCUAUCAGCUUGUUGGUGAGGUAGUGGCUCACCAAGGCGACGACGGGUAGCCGGCCUGAGAGGGCGACCGGCCACACUGGGACUGAGACACGGCCCAGACUCCUACGGGAGGCAGCAGUGGGGAAUAUUGCACAAUGGGCGAAAGCCUGAUGCAGCGACGCCGCGUGAGGGAUGACGGCCUUCGGGUUGUAAACCUCUUUCAGCAGGGAAGAAGCGAAAGUGACGGUACCUGCAGAAGAAGCGCCGGCU